AAACUUGUUCCACCUAGUGUACAGAGCACAACUACAUAUCCCUUGAGAAAUGGCAAUGACAUCAUUGUUCCUUUUUGUAGAUUAUCUCUUACUAAAGAAUCUUUUAUACCAUCAACUAUUAACCUAUGGAAUCAUACCGAUUUGUCCCUUCGAAAAUCAGACUCUAUAGCAAAGUUUAAAAUCCAAUUAAAAAGGUUAAAUACCCCAAAUAAAGAUGUACCAAAGCACUUUCUAUAUGGACCGAGGAAACUAAAUAUGAUUUUAACACAA
RNAcentral lists this long non-coding RNA (270 nucleotides) under Mytilus galloprovincialis (Mediterranean mussel). The record is from RNAcentral. Lineage: Eukaryota; Metazoa; Mollusca; Bivalvia; Mytilida; Mytilidae.